This 855-nucleotide ribosomal RNA is filed under the name Bacillus sp. SK-59. RNAcentral's name for it is "bacterial SSU rRNA". It matches the Rfam family "Bacterial small subunit ribosomal RNA", at positions 39 to 874 of the family's 1533-position model. Lineage: Bacteria; Bacillati; Bacillota; Bacilli; Caryophanales; Bacillaceae. The record is from RNAcentral.
SKGGCGUGCCUAAUACAUGCAAGUCGAGCGGACAGAUGGGAGCUUGCUCCCUGAUGUUAGCGGCGGACGGGUGAGUAACACGUGGGUAACCUGCCUGUAAGACUGGGAUAACUCCGGGAAACCGGGGCUAAUACCGGAUGCUUGAUUGAACCGCAUGGUUCAAUUAUAAAAGGUGGCUUUUAGCUACCACUUACAGAUGGACCCGCGGCGCAUUAGCUAGUUGGUGAGGUAACGGCUCACCAAGGCGACGAUGCGUAGCCGACCUGAGAGGGUGAUCGGCCACACUGGGACUGAGACACGGCCCAGACUCCUACGGGAGGCAGCAGUAGGGAAUCUUCCGCAAUGGACGAAAGUCUGACGGAGCAACGCCGCGUGAGUGAUGAAGGUUUUCGGAUCGUAAAACUCUGUUGUUAGGGAAGAACAAGUACCGUUCGAAUAGGGCGGUACCUUGACGGUACCUAACCAGAAAGCCACGGCUAACUACGUGCCAGCAGCCGCGGUAAUACGUAGGUGGCAAGCGUUGUCCGGAAUUAUUGGGCGUAAAGCGCGCGCAGGCGGUUUCUUAAGUCUGAUGUGAAAGCCCCCGGCUCAACCGGGGAGGGUCAUUGGAAACUGGGGAACUUGAGUGCAGAAGAGGAGAGUGGAAUUCCACGUGUAGCGGUGAAAUGCGUAGAGAUGUGGAGGAACACCAGUGGCGAAGGCGACUCUCUGGUCUGUAACUGACGCUGAGGCGCGAAAGCGUGGGGAGCGAACAGGAUUAGAUACCCUGGUAGUCCACGCCGUAAACGAUGAGUGCUAAGUGUUAGAGGGUUUCCGCCCUUUAUCGCUGCAGCAAACGCAUUACGCCUUUCUCCU